This 241-nucleotide ribosomal RNA is filed under the name uncultured bacterium. RNAcentral describes it as "partial 16S ribosomal RNA". It matches the Rfam family "Bacterial small subunit ribosomal RNA", at positions 93 to 334 of the family's 1533-position model. The record is from RNAcentral.
UAGUGGCGCACGGGUGCGUAACACGUAACUAACCUACCUAUACCUGGGGGAUAACCCGCCGAAAGGCGGAUUAAUACCGCAUAAGCUGUUUGCCUGGCAUCAGGCGAUUAGUAAAGAUUUAUUGGGUAUAGAUGGGGUUGCGGGUCAUUAGCUAGUUGGUUGGGUAACGGCUGACCAAGGCGACGAUGACUAGGGGAGCUGAGAGGCUGGUCCCCCACACGGGCACUGAGAUACGGGCCCG